CAAAAGGCUUUUUUAAAAGCCAACACAACUGCUAACCUUAUUGUGU
Non-coding RNA from Oryzias latipes (Japanese medaka), 46 nucleotides. The record is from Rfam. Lineage: Eukaryota; Metazoa; Chordata; Actinopteri; Beloniformes; Adrianichthyidae.